This is a non-coding RNA of Camellia sinensis, 2339 nucleotides long. Lineage: Eukaryota; Viridiplantae; Streptophyta; Magnoliopsida; Ericales; Theaceae. The record is from RefSeq and is a predicted model, not a curated record.
UCUACCAGACGAUAGCUUUAAGAGCAUUUCCAAUUUUCUUGACAUUUCUGGUCAACAUCUUCACGUUGGCAAAGAACCCUUUUUGCCUGUACGGCAUCAACAACCGCCUCCUCCGAUCUCUCUCCUACGCCAUCGUCACUCCUCCUCUGGCCACCGUCGGCUUCACUCUUCCGAAGACGCAGUAGGUUACUGUCGGAACUCCGUCGAGCUCAUCUCUGCCGAAAAUGGGAAAAAUAGGCCUGAUCUCAUCGGCAAAGGUGGGGAACUCAGAAUCGUCAGUCUCGUGGUUUUUACUUCUUAGCUGCUCUUCCAGAUCACUAUUCUGGUUCCGUAGAGAAUCCAUCUCCCGUUCCAGGUUCUUCAUCUUCCGUUGAUCAGUAAUUUUUUUUUCUGACUCCUUUUCGAUUGUUUCUUCCAAUUCUCUGACCCUGUUCUUUGCACCUUGAAACGCAUUUAGAAUUUCAUAAACACAGCUCUCAAAGUAGCCAUAGUCUUCCUCAAUCGUGUUGAGAUUCUCCAUCAGCAACUUCACUUCAUCUCCUUUCUGGAUACGCAGAGAAUCCAGCUCAAGUUCUAAACCCCUUAUUCGAGUUGAUGUUUCACUCUUAUGGGUCUCAUGCAUCUCGGUGUGACUCGCAAGUUCCCUUUCUCUCUCACCCAAUUUCUCCCUCAGCUGGCUACAUUCGGUGACAAGUUCUUAUAAAAGCUUUGAAUUCUCACCCUUCAACGUUCCAGCUUCCAUCUUUAAAUCACUGAUCAUCUUCUCCGCUUCCUUCUUUUUAGUAGUUUUUGUCAACUUCCCUUUCAAGUCAGCCAUUUGAAGUUCUUCCUUAAUGUCAUUCGUCACCUUCUAAAACUCAUUUUGCAAUUUUUCAUUUUUUCUGCCCUUUUCCUUUGAAGAAUAAGCUGAAUCCGAGUCCAAGACGGAGGAAGAAAAAGAAAAAGAAUAAUCUGUAUUCCCAUAUUUUUCAUCCUCAACUAAUGUCUUAUCCACUGACUUCCCGCCGCAGCUGCCAAAAAUGGAUCGAAGAAACCGAGAAAAUUUUGAGGGUUUUUUAAUAAUGGAUCGUGGUGGUUGUUGAGGAAAAACAACUUGCUGAUCCAUUGUAAUUCUUGGGAAAAAAGACAGAAGACAGAGAUGUAAUUCUUGGGAAAAAAGACAGAAGGAAACAGAGAUGUAGAGAUUGUGAGAGGGAGUGGCUUUUAUCGUGAAAGGUAGUUCAUUUUUUUCCAUAUUCUUGAAAGAUAUCUCUCACUAGAUUCAAGACUUGUAAGGGCUGAUCGUUUUAUAGAUGUUGAUUUUGAUAUAUAGUCAUCUUCCAUGAAGCACAGAAGAGGUUCAUUUUACCUUUUUAUACCUGAGUGGAGAGCUGCUCUGCACAUUUAUAUUAAAAUGAGAAUAUUUUUCAACAGAUUGAGUUAGAUGAACUUGAAGGUAUAUCUAAUUUAGCUGCAACAUUGGUAUGGGAUGACUCUUCCCUUUGUACAUUUGAGGAGGCUGUUCAAUCUUAUGAGUUAGCUCUCUAGCAGGUGGAAAGGAUCUUGGGAAUGACACUAUGGAAGUGGUAUCUAUUUCAACCUGAAAGAGAUUUCAUCUUCAUGUUAGUUCUCUGUCAGGCAUUCACAUACUCUGGUAAUUGCCAAUAACAUGGGAUGCUAUUGUGAGUUGGGUGAAAAAGAAGACGGGACCUGGUAUAUACGACCUAUCGACAGUAGAGGAAGCAGAACGUAUAUUGAUUGCUGAACCUAAAGUGGUUUUGGGCUUCCUUGACUCUCUAGUGGUCAAGACUCGAGGAUUGAUUGACCAUUUACGGGAACCACUAACAGGACUGUCUUGAAUUAUUGAACAAUCUCAUUCGUAGCAAUACGUCUAAUCAGGUCUUGCUAAGGGAGACUAUAGGCGUUGACCCUUUGAUAUCAAUUGUGAAGCUUAGAGGAAGCAGUUACAGUUUCAACCAACAGAAGUAGACGAUAAACCUUCUCAGUGCUUCAGAGACCAUCGGUUUGCUAAUAAUGGGAGGUCCAGAAAUUGACACUGGAAAAGAUGCCAAUAGGCUGACCAAUAAAGCAGUCUUGGUUCAGGUUUGUUUCAAAAUAAGUUAUCUGCUAUAAUGAAUACCUGAAAAACCUUAUAAUUUUGUACGAUUUCUCUCACUGGUCUAUGUAUAUUAUUGGUUGUAGAAAAAAAAUUUCGACCAUCUUUUAAUGCUAGGAGUAGAAAGCCAAUGGGCUCCUGUCCCUGUGCAGUGUACAGUAAGAUAACAUUCUUUUUCUUCUUUUGUGUGUGUGGGUGUGUGGGUUUUAAAGAAUACCCUUAUAAUGAGAUAUCAUAAGGAACA